Molecule: long non-coding RNA, 1226 nt
Organism: Brassica rapa (field mustard)
Lineage: Eukaryota; Viridiplantae; Streptophyta; Magnoliopsida; Brassicales; Brassicaceae
Source: RefSeq, a predicted model, not a curated record
ACGUCGCUGAGGGCUUCUUUCUCGUCAUGUUUUCCCAACAACUACCCUGGCCUUUCGUUACUUACGGAUCUGUUUCGGUGCUUUGAAUCUUUCAAAGGGUUUCGUGCUGUUGCCAUGCGCUUUCUUCUUCGCUCCAGAGCUUGGUCCUUCCAACUCUAGCGGUUGUUGAUGAGAGCCUCGUUCUCUUCAGUCUCUUAAAGUUCCAGAAGGGUGAUGGCUGCAACCUUCUCUUGCCGUUUCAAUGUUUUGAAGCUAGAAUCUUUUUGUGCUCUGCUCGCUAGGAGGGACCAGAGUCGAACCACUAAACCUCUCCUUGCUCCUGCUAGUACCCACCAAUGCUGGUAUUUCCCCUGUGAUGGCCGGACCAAGACUUUGUCAACCUUGCUUCGCCUCUCAUCCUUUGGGAGUCGCCUUCGGGACAAUUUGUGGUUCUUCAGAUUGUUCUCCGGCUGAAAAAAAAAGAGAAGUAAAAGUAGUGGAGGAUUACCGAUAUGCAGUGCCGUGCUUAGCGUAAUAGGGGCCUAAGGCAAAAUAGCUAAUUUUAUUUUUAAUAAUAAAUAUCUAGUAAUUUUAGUAUAAUAAUAGUAUUUUUAAUAUACGUUGACAAAUAAACAACAGCUUAAAAAAUUAUCAAAAACUUAGAUUGAAAACAUUAUAUGUCUUGUUAUUAGCAAAAUUCUACAUAGACAAAGAAGUUUUCAACAUUAAUAAGAAAACCAGAAGUUAAUGCUCAAAAGAAAAUAUAAAUUGAUGUUUGAUUAUUAAAAGAAAGCAUAUUAUCACGUGUUUAUGUCAUAAUCUAUAAAUUUGGGGCCCUAAAAUGAACUAAUAUGAUAAGGGGCCUGAGGCCAAUGCCUCAAAAUCAAUAGGGUAGGCACGCCAUCAUAUUACCUUAUAGCACUCCAUAUUCUUAGAUUAUUUUCUUCUUUAGAAAUAAAAUAGUUGACAUUCAUGUUUGUUUAACAACAACUUGACCUAAUGUCAUCCAUAAGCUGUAAUUAGAAAACUAUGGUAUGUUUUAAUACUCAAUUUGCAUGUUCAAACAUAAAUAGACUUAAAGAUUUCCAGUAUAUAACUCUCUUUUUUUCUUUUCAAAAUGGAACAAUUCCAUAAUAGAGUUGAAUUGAAUUUCACUAAUCUUAUUUCAUUUUAAAAUAAUAUGUAAAAGUAAUUUUAUUACUCUAUAAAAAUAAUAUCAUGUUUUACUUAAAUUUGAAAAAAAAAUA